This 781-nucleotide ribosomal RNA is filed under the name Dictyostelium sp. RNAcentral describes it as "SSU rRNA". It matches the Rfam family "Eukaryotic small subunit ribosomal RNA", at positions 52 to 836 of the family's 1831-position model. The record is from RNAcentral. Lineage: Eukaryota; Evosea; Eumycetozoa; Dictyosteliales; Dictyosteliaceae.
UGCAUGUCUAAGUAUAAAUUCUUGUACGAUGAAACUGCAGACGGCUCAUUACAACAGUGAUAAACUGCUAGACUUUCGGGUUUUUAACCUUUUGGAUAACCGCAGUAAAUCGGGGCUAAUACAUAGAAGCGAUGGGUGACUGGCAACGGAAGCUCAGCGAUUAUUAGCAUUACUACCAAUACCUUCGGGUCUUGUGGUGAAACCGAAUAAUAUUGCAGAUCGGGGAUUUAUCUUCGACAAGUCUACUGUGUCACUGCCCUAUCAACUUUCGAUGGUACGGUAUUGGCCUACCAUGGUUGUAACGGGUAACGGGGAAUUAGGGUUCGAUUCCGGAGAGGGAGCCUGAGAAAUGGCUACCACUUCUACGGAAGGCAGCAGGCGCGCAAAUUACUCAAUCCCAAUACGGGGAAGUAGUGACAAUAAAUAUCAAUACCUAUCCUUAAUUGGAGGGCAAUUGAAAUGAACACAAAUUAAAACUCUUAAUUAACACAAUUGGAGGGCAAGUCUGGUGCCAGCAGCCGCGGUAAUUCCAGCUCCAAUAGCAUAUACUAAAGUUGUUGCAGUUAAAAAGCUCGUAGUUGAAGUUAAAGUUUUAUUGGACUCAAGUUUUUUACCACUCUGGUGGCUAAAAUAACUCCAAUAAUUCUUUUUUUAAUAGCUCAGUUUCUAGGUCUUUGACUCUAGUUAUUUGGGCAUUUCACUGUGAGAAAAUUGUGGUGUUUAAAGCAGGCGUCUCGUCUGAUCUUUUGCAGCAUGGUAUGAUGGAACAUGACAUUUUACG